AGAGUUUGAUCCUGGCUCAGGAUGAACGCUGGCGGCGUGCCUAACACAUGCAAGUCGAGCGCGAUUAAGUGGAGUGGAGACUUCGGUCAAAGCGAAACUUAUGAAAGCGGCGGACGGGUGAGUAACGCGUGGGCAACCUGCCCCAUACAGAGGGAUAGCCACUGGAAACGGUGAUUAAUACCUCAUGAGUCAGUAGGAGCGCAUGAGCUAGCUGACAAAGAUUUAUCGGUAUGGGAUGGGCCCGCGGCUGAUUAGCGAGUUGGUGAGGUAACGGCGCACCAAGGCGACGAGCAGGAGCCGACCUGAGAGGGUGAGCGGCCACACUGGAAC
RNAcentral lists this ribosomal RNA (330 nucleotides) under uncultured bacterium. RNAcentral's name for it is "SSU rRNA". It matches the Rfam family "Bacterial small subunit ribosomal RNA", at positions 8 to 319 of the family's 1533-position model. The record is from RNAcentral.